This 21937-nucleotide long non-coding RNA is filed under the name Prunus persica (peach). RNAcentral's name for it is "long non-coding RNA (PPER_LNC001822)". Lineage: Eukaryota; Viridiplantae; Streptophyta; Magnoliopsida; Rosales; Rosaceae. The record is from RNAcentral.
GAUCACAAGCACAUGGGCCUGGGUGGGGAUGAUAGUUGGUCGCCCUGCGUCCAGCACGAGUAUCGGGUUCAUGCUGAUCCAUACUCAUUUUCAAUUAGGCUGUGCCCGAUAACCCCUGCAACCUCUGGCCAAGUCAUGUACAAAACUCAACUUCAAAAGUAGUAGACAUGAUGGGCUCGAGAACUUGGUAAUGAGUACUGAGUGAUUGACAAUGUAUGUGGCCAUGAAUAAGAUGGCUAGCUCAUUUGCAACAAAUAAUAUAAAGGCAAAACUUAUCAGUCUGUAAUAUUCUGAUUAUGAAACAUUUGUAUUUAAUAGUGCUUUUGUCUGAAGCAUUUUAGUGGUGGAUCAUGCCUACUACAAUCAAUCUAAGAAAUUUAGUACUUUCCCUCCUAUUUGUCACUUUACUUAACAUGCCUACUAAAGUCAGUCCUAAAGAUACUGCAGUCAAAUUUAUGAUUGAGUGUGCUCUGCCUCCUUAUAUUUUUUGGCAAUAUUUUCAUGUAGUUUUAUUUAAGUAUGUAUGUAGGAAUGUCAUGUAUUGCCCACUCCUUUAGUCCAUGUUGAUUCAUCAUAUUCUGGAAAGUGAAUAAGUAAACAGAAUUCAUUUAUUUCUUUAAAUGCCUUCCGCAAGUUGCUACCUAGAAUAAGUGUUGCCUUUGCUGAAAUAUUUUUAUUACUGUGUAGCUCCUUGAUGCAUAAUUUGGGGUAACUAUGCAACCUUCCGGUUUAAUAUUAGUUAGAUAUCCGAUGGGUGAUCCGGUCAAAGAGGGUCAACAGCUCCAGAACAAAAUUGGUGAAGCUUUACCACCUACGUAGCAUUUUGUUUUUAUCAAACUUGUUGAUUUAGCUAAAUCAUUGAGAGAGAGAGAGAGAGAGAGAGAGAGAGAGAGAGAGAGAGAGAGAGAGAGAGAGAGAGAGAGAGAGAGAGAGUUUGACAUAUUAUGUGGUCUCCAUGUCAUUGACAAAAGAAAUUGGAUUUGGCAUGUAUUAUAUAUAUUGCUUUCGUUUUUUAGUGGUAUAAAACUAAUGUGUGACAGUGUGUUUGGUGUAAUAUUUAUGUAUUCUUACGUCGCAGAUAUAACAAUCAGCUUUCUGGUUUUUUCUUUGAAUCGAUAAUUGCAGUUUUAGUUAAAGGAGGGGAGGUGGAAACACAAUAACGUGAUAUCUUGGCCAGAAAAAAAAACCAGUAACUUGAUAAGAGAAACACCGCCAGUACAAAGUCCACCAUAGUAAUGUAGAUCAUCCCUGUUGUUACCAUACCAUGUAAAUGCUUUUCUUAUUCGAUCUGGAAGUCUGCAUGCCUUCUGGAUUUAAGAGCCCUAGAGAUCGUGAAAAUUUCCAACUCAAAUGAAUUCAUAAAUCAAAAUUAAGUUGUUUACAUGGCAUAAUCAUAUACAAUGUUUACUUUGUUGACAUCCAUUUCCCCUAUUGUGUUUGAAAGUUUACCUGUGGCUCCACAUUAGAACUAUAAAGACAGCCUACUUAACAAUUUAAGCUUACUUGUUUGCAGUGAACAUUGCUCCUUUUAUCAUUCCUGUGCAGAAAAAAGAUCCGACUCCCCAUGCUUGAUGUUCUUCCUUCAAGCAACUGAUGAUUUGGAGACCACUACCACUUUGCAAUACUAUGCGGACUUGAUUUGCCCUGUUCUUUUAGAAACAAUAAUAAAAGGUAGCUUUAGAGUUAUAUGUAAAGAGUGCAAAACUAAUUUAAUAUUUGAGUUCCCUUUGUUUCCAAUGGAUGUUGCUCUUUUCAUUUGUUUUGCAACUCACAUAUAUAACAGAAAUGUUCCUAGCUAUUAUAUGCAAUUUGUAUGUUAUGAUUAUGGCUGUUUGUUCACAGUCUCUCUCUCUCUCUCUCUCUCUCUCUCUCUCCCCACUUCUGUGUUGUACGUAUCCCCUUUUUAUUAAAGUUGCUGUCGAAGGUUUAUCUUUAGUUUUUUCUCAGAAGUGGACUCCUUAUUUACCAUCUUUCUACUCUUUUCUUUUUAAAGAAAAAUUUAGUUUCUUAUUAAAAAUAUAAAAAAAAGUAUUGGAAAGUCUUAGUACUGAUUAUUGGAAAGUCUAGCUUGUCAGUUGUUGUAUGGGUUGGAAUUUAAAUUAGGAGAGACUUAAUGAAGCUGAAAUAGGGGAGUUUUCCUCUCUUUAUUUAUUUGAUUGAAAAUCCUUCAUUGUGUCCGGACCAGGGUGAUAGAAGGGCUUGGAAAUUUGAAUAUUCUAAAUCCUUUUUAUUUUUCUUGCAACUCCUGUCUUUACCUUUUUUCAACCGAUCCCAAUUGAUAUGAAAGACUAAGGGCCCUAGUAAAUCCUUGUUUGGUUAGGUGCUCAUGGGAUGGUCGUUACUUGUGACAAUAUCCAACUUAAGAGGCCAAAUAUGUGCCUAUCAGCCGAUUGGUGUUAAAUGUGCAUGAAUGCAGAACAUAUUGACCAUCUAUUUCUAGAUUGAGUUCAUGUAUAGUCAUUAGUUGAAAAUGUGGCUUUAGGGAAAAGCAGGAAGGCUAAAUCUUAGGGGCGGAGGAGUGGUCUUAAUGGAUAGGGUGGUGUUUUGGACAAUUUGGGCAUCAGUAGUUGCUGAGUUUAGAGAUAUUCGUUUCAUUGUCCUUAAUUUAGUUCGGGUUGCUGCAGUUAGCUGAUCUUUAGAGUUUUGGCGCUGGUGAUCGAAGCAUUUUUUUUAUAUAUUUUGUGUUAUUGUUGCUUUGUCUAAAUGGUGUACUUCUUGUUUAAUGCUGGACAAUAUUUUGUAACUUUUCUUUUAGUAAUGCCUUCAUUUUUAUAAAAGCUUUUUAAUUUGGUUCUCAUAUGAAUCAUGUCUUUCUAAUGGACAGGUGACCCUCGUAUUGGCUCAGCCAAUAUCAUUUGGAUUGAUCCAGAUACAACAACUUGGAUUAGAAGCCCAAACAAAUCUCACAAGGGUGAAUGAGCCUUGGAUGUUGUUCUGGAGAAAUCAGUCAUCAAGCAAAGUGGUGAUGCAUGGAGAACAGUGCUCGAUUCUUGCCUUCCAGUGCUUCACCUAAUUGACACCAGACGUUCCAUCCCGUAUGCCAUCAAACAAAUUCAAGAAUUGUUGGGGGUGUCUUGUGCUUUUGAUCAAGCAGUUCAGGUACUGUCAUACAGGCUCACAGUUUAGUUGUUUCUAGUAGAGGUGGUAAUAAGGUUGGGGGAUAUCAUGAUUUGGUGGUGUCAUAUGGCAACAUAACCUAAAAAAUAUAGUUUUUUGAGCUGUAUGACUUGAUUCAAAUUUUAUAUUAGUCGUUGUACGUUUGGGUAGAGACAGAGUAAACUGUAAUUUAACUCUAGGAAUUUCUUUAUUUCAAAGCCAUAUCCAUUACUCGAUCCAUCUUCUGUCAAAUGAAAAUGCACUCCAUCCAUGUGUUAGAAGGCCUAAGAAAGAAGAAACAAAUUUUCUGAUUCUAGAAAGAUUCAUACCAUACCAAUCAAGAAGUAAACAGAAAAAAGUCUGAAAUUUUCUCAUGCAAAUGUUGAACAGUCUGUUUUGUCAAAAUCUGGUGUUUCUGGUGUUUAGUCUAAUAUGUUCCAACUUAGUCUAUCCAAUUUUCCAAUUUACAAAUGGAUCAACCUUUUUAUCGUUCUUGUUACCAAGUAGGGUAAAUUCAAGUAAUAGUGACAUUUUUGUGUUGGGAUGAUAUUCUGUUGCUGCAUUGCUUAGAAAAUUAUCAGUCUUGGUUUCCAGUAGCUUCUAUUAUAUCCGUGUAAUACGCUUCUCUCCCGUUGGAGUGUUUGACUUUCUGGACAUCUCAUUCUUCAUACAAUUUAAUUCUUCACUACCCUUUCUUUCUAGUGGGAGUGCUUUAGCGCAUCAGUUGUGUUUAAAAUUGUAUGUUUCAUAUGCUUAUUAGAGGGAUUCAAAUGACUAAUCUUCAUUAGCUGUGGACCUCCUUUUAAAAUUUCGAUCUUUGCGUAAUUGUGUGGCUGUAUUUCUGGUUCCCUCUGGCAUGCUACCGUACAUCUUAUGAAAUUUAACUUUUCUAGUUGUCAAUGAAAAUUGGAACAUAUUAGACUAAGUUUCUGGGUGAUAUGAGAUACUUAUUCUACUUUUCAAUUAAGAAUACAUUUUAUGAUUGAUUACGCAGCGCCUCUCAACGGCAGUGACAAUGAUGGCAAAAGGUGUUCUGAAAGAGCAUCUUAUCCUCCUGGCAAAUAGCAUGACAUGUGCAGGAAAUUUCGUGGGAUUCAAUUCGAAUGGGUACAAAGCACUAUCUCGGGCAUUGAAUAUUCAAGUACCAUUUACGGAAGCAACACUGUUUGUAAGUAAUUGAAAUUUUUGUCUAAUUCUGUGAAAGGGCAUUUACUUAUAGUUACUGGUUAAGAUGAAUUACAAUCACAACUGAUUUCAGUACUCACAUGUGGUUGUAGACACCAAGAAAGUGUUUUGAGAGAGCAGCUGAAAAGUGCCACAUGGAUUCGUUGGCGAGCAUAGUUGCAUCAUGUUCCUGGGGUAAACAUGUUGCUGUGGGUACUGGCGCGAGGUUUGAUGUCCUGUGGGACACAAGAGAGGUAUUUCAUAAUUUUUAAUGCACUUGUGAAUUCUCAGUCGUAUUAAAUUUAGUCUUAUCUGCUGCUAAUGUUUCGCACCAUUUAAAUCUUAAUUUUUUUCUAGGUAGAAUUGACUCAAGAGGGUGGACUUGAUGUUUUCAACUUUCUGCAUAUGGUGAGCACUGCAAACGUAGAAGAAGCAACUACAGGAGCUCUCGGUGCUGAAGUUGAUGAUCUAAUGCUAGUUGAUGAAAUGGCAGAUUCAAGCUUCUCGCCAGAACUCAACUCCAGUUUUGAUAGGCCCGUCUUCGAAGAUCUUGUUGAAUUUGAUGAUAAAUUAGGAGAUCUUCCCGAAAAAUCAAACUGGGAAAAGGAUUCCUCCUUCCACACCGAUUCUAAUGGGGGGAAAGACUGGAGCGUCGACAAAAAUGUGGGAACUGUGGCAGUACCUGACGUUUGGUCAAGCUGGGGUACAGAUAAAGGGUAAACACAAGAUAGCAACUCAGCAGAAGCCCAGUUGGAUUCCAAGAAAUCCAGUGUUUUGGAUACCUCGUCUGCGUGGGGGAAAAACCCAGCAAAAGAAAAUACGACAUCUACAUGGGGGACAACUACGGCAAGUGAAAAUGAUUGGUGUGGUAGAGGGGUAGGUGAGGAUGAUUUUGUAAGCUUGUCUGGGAAGAAAUCUGGUGUUUUGAAUACCUCAUCUGCGUGGGCGACAAAUACUGCCAGAGAAGAUGCUGCAUCUGCCUGGGGAACAAAUCCAGCAAAAGAAAAUACCACAUCUACAUGGGGCACAACUACGGCAAGUGAAAAUGAUUGGUGUGGUAGAUGGGUAGGUCAGGAUGAUUCUGCAAGCUUGUCUGUGAAGAAAUCCAGUGUUUUGGAUACCUCGUCUGCGUGGGCGACAAAUACUGCCAGAGAAGAUGCUGCAUCUGCCUGCGGGAAACAGCCAGCAAAAGAAAAUGCCACAUCUACAUGGGGCACAACUUUGGCAAGUGAAAAUGAUUGGUGUGGUAGAGGAGUAGGUCAUGAUGAUUCUGCAAGCUUGUCUGGGAAGAAAUCCAGUGUUUUAAAUACCUCAUCUGUGUGGGCGACAAAUACUGCCAGAGAAGAUGCUACAUCUGCCUGGGGGGAAAAUCCAGCAAAAGAAAAUACCACAUCUACAUGGGGGACAACUACGGCAAGUGAAAAUGAUUGGUGUGGUAGAGAGGCAGGUAAAGUUGAACCAGUAGACUUCCAGCCUACAAAACCCCAGGAUGAUUCUGCAAGCUUGUCUGGGUGGGAUUCACCUACCGGAGAUGGGAAUUCUGGUGAACGAAAUCAUCAGUGGGGACAGCAUCGUGGAGACCAAACAAAGAAAAGUCGUUUUGAAGGUGCAAGGAAUUGGGUUUCAAGUCCUGGGGAAUGGAAGAAUAAGAACCGUCCUCCUAAGUCGCCUGGAAUGGUGAAUGACAAUUCUACCAUGGGUGCAUUAUAUACUGUAACAAGACCGAGAUUGGAUAUGUUCACUUCCGAGGAGCAUGUUCUUUCUAAUAUUGAGCCAGUUAUGCGCUCCCUCCGAAGGAUAAUGCAUCAAUCUGGGUAUGUUUUCUAUCUAUGUACUUUCUUAACAAUUCGGACCAGGCAGAUCAAAAUAAUGGAUACUUUUCAAUUUUCUAAAGGAGAAAUGAUUCUUAUAUAGGAAGACCAGAUGUUUUUUGUCUUGCUAAGUGUCUUAUAAGUAAGAGUCCAUUUGAAGUCAGGGGAAUACUUUUAGUUUAGAGUGACAAGAAACUAAUGAUUUGAAUAAUUAUUUAUUAGUGUGCAAUGUUCUUUUGGUGAUUUGGAUGGAAAGGAACGGUUUUGCUCAAAGCCAAAGUUGGGCAGUUUGUCGACUAUUUAUGAGAUAUGGCUAGACUUUGGGCCUCUCUAUGGGCUUCAGUCUCAUCUGUAUCAUGAUUGCCCAUUCUUUCUCUUAAAUUUGGAAAGGGAAGCAAGCUGCUAUAUCGUAGUUGCCCUGAUUGUACUUUGGGGCUUUUGCUCUGUUUUCUGCAUUGUUGGACGCUGUACUGUCAUACUUUUCUUUUGGUUUCUAUAAAUUGUAGGCUUUGUGCAGUGUAUUUUCUGGUCUUCUAGUCCACUUUGAUUGUACUUCCCAUUCAUAUUAAUUUGCAUGUUGAAGUCUGAAGUCUAUUUUUACAUAAAAUUAAUUAUAACAACUAUAAAAGAAAGACAUCUAAUAAAGUGAUGAAUUUUACAUAUUACAUUGGACUUUCCUUUGGAGAUGUCUUAGGGAUAUCAUAUCUUCACUGAUCUCCAUAUGAAACAAUUGAUUUCAUUUUUGGACAUUAUCCAGUCACUUUGCAUAUGUUAUAGCUUCGUGCCGUGUUGUGCAACUGUUUGAUAUUUCCUUCCUUUUUUGAAUAUUUUAAUUGUAGCAAUAUCUUUGCAUGGUGUUCGACAAUGCUGUAACUUAAUUUCUGGUUUUUAAAUUAUUUUAUGCAGGUACAAUGAUGGGGAUCCACUGUCAGGUGACGAUGAAUCGUUUGUACUUGAUAAUGUCUUCAAUUACCACCGGAUAAAGCAGCUAAAAUGGGUUGUGGAAUUGAUCAUCUCACAGUAUGUUCAUCUACCCUGUUCUUGCUUAACUACGUUUUAUUUGGAAUUAUAUUUCUGUACACAUUUGAUACAUUGGAUUAAGAAUCUGUGACUGAUGAUUUUAUUGUUAUACUGAUUAUUCUAAUAUUCAUUUUAUUUUUUAUGGAAGCUGGACAUUUAUACAGAUUUUCCUAGAUUGUCCAUUGAGUAUAAACUCCAGGUGUAUUGUUGCAUACCUAAAUUUGUUCUGGAGCUCAAUGGAAAUUUUGAAACCUUUUUUUAUGUCAAUAUUUAUCAUUAGCAAAGAGCUGUUGCACAUAGGGAGUUGAUUCAAAUGGGGUUUAGUCAGAAAAAAUCAUUUUCAUGUCUUUUGGUUUAGAUACUCACGCAUGGUACCAGGCUGCUAAGGUUGGUGAUCUAGUUCUUCAGAUAAGGGGAAUAAAUACUCGUCUUUAAACAUGAAUUAAGACUAUGGUUCAUUUGAAGGGGUUUUUAAGUCUGGGGACAAGUAGUGAUUGGGAAGAGGUUUUCUUUCUUAGUACUUGGAAAACAUAUCAAGGCUGGAAUGUCCGGUAUUGUUUACCUUUUUUGCAGGAACCACUGUCUUGUAAUAACUGCCAAUAUGUGUCUUAUUUUGUAAAAUAUUCCACUAAUUUACACCGCUAUUGGUAUGACAGGUUAAUAGGCAUGGUAGUUUCCAGGACAGCAGAUGCUUCUUUGUUGUGUCAACAGACAGUCGUACGGAAGAUUUUUCAUAUUGGAAUAUGUAAAAUAAUUAACUGCUGUCCUCGUCUUCUUACAGCUGCUGGAAACUCUUCAUCUUCCAACAGUUGUAUUGUCUUGGUACUGUAAAAGCCUUUAUUAAUUCUAACGACUGUAAAAGGCUUGCCUAUAUAUGCAGCCUGUUGUACUGAUAUCUAUAUGAUGAAUAAGAAUCUCAAACUCCACCGGGGAUGUAGGCUCAAAAUUGCCGAACCUCGGUAAACUUGUGGUGUUCUGUUUUCUUCUUUCUCUGAUUUCUACAUGUUAUCAGAGCAGGACCUUUGAAAAGUUCCCCAAUGUAGCCGAAACUUUCAUUGGCAAGUAUUUCUCUAGUAGAGGGAAUCGAGAGCGGAACCCAACUCUAAGUCAAACCUCCACUCCAGAGCAAACUGAGAAUGCGGAGACGCAGUAGAAAAUGUCUAUUUCCUGGGCAAGUGUCAUUUUGAGAUUCUCAUGUAAUUAGCUGUAAACAUUCUGCUCCUCUGUUUUUUGAUUUGUAUAUAUUAGGCAGUUGUUAGCAGCUCCUGACAAACUCAGUUUGUUUUCUUUUUUCUUUUUCUGGGUUUGAUCUUAGAGCAUUUUAGUUAACCUGUUGGUAACUACUGGAUGCUGUUAAACUAAACCCUUAAUUGGGAGAUAUUGCAGGUAAAAAAUCAAUUGUCGAUGAAAUGCAGAAGUGUUACCAAUAUCAUUCAUCAAUGGCUUCUAUUUCUUUAUUAAUCAUUUUGGUACUGAGACUUGCUGCCUCUCUGAUGACAGCUCAAUUAGGCCUUCAUCAUUGCUCAUGGUUCAUGGUUUUGGGUUUAUCUGUGAAGUGAUUAGCUGCUGCUUCUGUGUGCUGGAAGGGAAAUGUUUUGCUGAUUAGCAAAGCAGCUCUCAUACUGCCAAUCACACUUCUGAUUUGGAAAUUUUAUUUUUGUUUCUAUUUUUCUGAUAAGGAAUUGAUGAUACUGGGCCAUGAUAAAUAGCUGUGCAAAUGAACAUGAAGAACUUGGUUCAUUAUACAGAGUUAAAAAGAGUCUAAUGCACCCUAGUAAAUACUUGAGCUCAGGUUCAGAUAGAUUACAAAAGUGAGUUGAAUCCAAUCAAUCAUUUCUUGAACAAUCAGUACAAGAAAUACUCACAUUAGAUUAGUCAUAGGCCAAUAUCUACCAUUAGUUUCAUUAAAAUGAAGGAAACCCUUACAAUUUCAUGCAUAUUGGUUGUCAAUCUUCAAUUCACUUGGUAUAUCUUAAAAAAUAUUUGCAGGAAAGUUAUUGAUGUCUAUAUUUAUUCCUGCGCAAAUCACUGUUUGCAGGAGUAUAGGUAAAAUUGUAGAUUUUGACAAUAUUAUUAUUUAUUUCUUUAACAUUUUAUUUAAUUGGUGCAUGACAAAUCGAAUUCUUAUUUGUGGUUUUUCCUUAAUUUCAAUUUGUCCAUGUAGUUUCAAUUAAGUCGUAGUUUUGUUGCUUGUUUCAAUUAAGUCCCUUAUACGUGCACUGCAUGUGCCAUAUUAUUAAACAUUGUAUAUUUAAGGGCAAGGUCGUCAUUUAAUGUGAAAUAAUUUCGUCUUUUUCUUCUUGUUAGGACUUGUAGUUUGCCUAUUAAAAAUAAAAAUGAAAAAUGAUUGCAAGUGGCUUGUAAUUCAAGUGGUUAAAAGUAUUUAUCUCUUCACUUGAGGUCUUAGGUUCAAUUCCCUCCUCUAUCAAUAUCGCUUGUAAAAAAAUUAAAAAUUAAAAAGGUUAACGAUGCACAUGCAACAUAUAUUGUUUAAAGUGCUAUAGAGGUUCGAAUAUAAGACCAUAGGUUUGCAAGUCAAUGUCAUUUUUCACUAGGCUAUAUGUUGCAUGGACACUCAAGAUACUCUCCAAACACGGAUCAACUCAUACUUAAGAUCAGUUAAUGUGUUAAUUCAAUUAUAAUUCAUAAGAAAUUAAUAAACUACAUUUGAAAGACUUGGAAAGCUUGAACUUCACUAUAUAUAAUUGUGAAAUUGAAGUAUUAACAUCAAUAUUUUGUUUUUCAAUUAAAUAAUUAUUUUUUAUUGUCGUGUUCUAGUUUUUUGAGAUUUUUCGUUUUCCCGUAUCCCUAUAUUCCCGUGUCACAUAUCCGUGUCGCCGUGCUGGUGUCCCUACAACACCUAUACUCCUUUGGCUUUAGCUCAGGAUUUUAUUUCUAACAAAAUUUAACAAUAAAUACCUGAUUGAAAAUAUUAUGCGACGACUAUGCUGCUAGUUUUUUGGAUGAGAAAUUUCCACUCUUAUUAGGGGAAGAUCCGCUCUUUUAGCCCACUUUUUUAGACAUCUAUUAGACUGUAGGGCACCAAUGGAGUGGUUUAACACUUAGUAAAUUUAGGUUUGUAAAUUUAGGUUUUAGUCACAAAACCAAAAUUCUGGAAAAAUAUAAAAUUAAAACCAAAAUCCAAUUUUCCUUGAAAAAUAUAAAACUAGGGAUGUGAUUUCCCCACUUCCUUUUUCUCCACUUACAGUCCCCUUUGCUUUUUAAUACUUUUUAAUCAAUUUUGUUAUUUCUCUUUUCUAUUCUACCCUUGCCCUACAUUAAUUUCUUUUUACUUCACUUUUAAUUAGUUCUAAUUAAGUGUAAAGAAAAAGAACUAAUAUAAAAGUGAAGUAAAAAGAAAUUAAUGUAUGGCAAUGGUAGAAUAGGAAAGAGAAAGAACAAAAUUGAUUAAAAAGUAUUAAAAAGCAAGAAAGAGUGUAAGUGAAAAAAAGAGAGUGGGAAAAUCAAAUCCCUAAAACUAAAACCAAAAUCCAAUUUUCCUCAAUAAAAAAAACCCCCAUUAUCCAUUUCUUUUUCUCGUGAAGCAAAUACAAUAAUAUAUUAUCAGUCACCCCCGUCUUGAUGUUUUACUGCUUUAAAGUACUUUGAGUCUGAUUGAUCCACAAGAUCAGCUACCAGUCCACUGAUAUGUGGUGGAAGUGAUCGGUUUACUACUAAGAAUCAGCCAUGGCUUCUUCUUUACCGGGUCAACUCGUUUUUCUCUUAGAGAAUGGACAUCAUGUGUGGGAGGACCAAUCUCUCAUCAAGUGGAGGAAGAGAGAUGCACAUGUCCCUUUACGUUGCCAUGAUUCAAUUGAAGGUGAGGAACUAAAACCAUUCCAAUUUCAGUUUCGUAUUUGGAUUAAGAGUGUUUUCAUGUUGCUGGAAGUUUUGCUUUGUUUCACGUUGUCUUGUUAAAUUUUGGUUAAUGGAGUUUUUUGUUGCUGGAAUUUUGUAAAUGUUUGGGAUAUAACUGUUAAGUCUGUUUGAUUCAGAAUCACAUUCAAUCUUCAGAUGAAGAGUUCUAUGAAGUGGGUUUAUGAUCGUGAAUAAGGGGAUUUCAUGUGAUAAAAAUAAUAUGAAGUACUCAUGUAAUGCUAGUAUAUUAUAAAUGCAUUUAGCUAUUUUCUUUAUUAUAAAUUUCAGGUUCUACAUGCAAUAUUUAUUGGAAAUGAUUUAGCCAUGUCAUUUAGAUGUUUCGACUUUGCAAAUUAUACAAACACACAUUGAGUAUGUAUAAUAAUUAUGUAUAAGCAAGCUCAUCGAUUGGCCUGACACAUUUUGAAUUUUUGUUGGAGUUUUGUUGCAUUGGUUUUUGGUAAAAAAUCAUUUUCUCAAAUAUGAAGAGUGAAUAGGGAAACAUGGUAUGCAGUUGUGAAUAUGUGUAGAAUCUGACAUUGUUCAGAAACUGCAUCAUGGUAUGGUAUAUGAGCUUGAGCUUGACGUUGCAUCUUGCCAUCAAGAUGAGCUUUUGGUAUAGGAACAUGGGACAGGAAUCUUGUACCUAUUCCCAAGCCUUGAAAUCACGAAACAUGGUCUACGUUAUAGGCACAUAGAGGGAUUCUAAUUGGUAUAAUGGUUUGGGUCCAUGAUGCAGAACCCCCCCUCUCUAAGUUCUGUGUGUUAUUUUAUCUUAUCAUUGGCUUGGAAUCUUACUUCUUUUCUAUUUCUUUUAGAAGAUAUCUGAUGUUCGUUAUGUGAUGUAGGAUCUCUUAAAUACUGGUAUGAGCGCAACAAAGUGAAUUUUCUGGUAUCCAACUCUGCUGUUUGGGAUGAUGAUGCUGUUCCUGGAGCUCUUGAUAGCGCAGCCCUUUGGGUCAAGGACUUGCCUUUUGUGAAGUCUUUGUCAGGCUAUUGGAAAUUCUUCUUGGCUUCGAGUCCUAGAAAUGUUCCUGUAAAUUUUUAUGACACUGCAUUUCAGGAUUCUGAGUGGGAAACCUUACCAGGUAAGCAUAUAUGUAUCUUUCACUUUUUCUUGCCUUAAAAUCUGACAAUCUACACAUAUAUUUGGUAUGCUGUGUUAGAAUAUAGCAGUGAUAGUUGUUUCAUAAAAUCAUUAAUGAAAUUUGUUUCAUUGCAAAAUAUGUAUCUAUUCCUGCAUGCCAGAAACUUAUUGCAUCGUUUUACUUCAACUACGAGUUUUCUCUGCGCUGUUUCUUUAUAUAUUCUUAUUUGCAACAGUGUAGUAUUGCAUUCGAGGUAAUUUUAUGGCUAAGUGAGAGAAUUUUGAAGGCAUGUUUAGUAACGUGUAUGAAAUGUUUGGGUUAUAAUGAGGGGAAUUUUUUAUUUUUUAUUUUUAGUUUUUUCUGUAUUUCAGUUAGCUUAUGUAAGUGUCAGCUUCACAUGAGAGUUGGGGUCCAAUCUUAACUUAGCUUCAAGGAAAGGAAAGGAAAAACUUCCAUUUUAUUGCUUGUUGGCUACUGGUUUUUCUCAUAGCGGAUUUUCGCUAUCAUAAAUCGGCCUUUCAUUUUACUAUUCGUUUUCUUUAAAGAGAGACACACAUAUGCGUUAGCGAAACUGUUCAGUAAGUGCCACGCACAAAUAAGUCAGUUCUUUCCAGAUAAUAAAUUGUGCUUUGAACUAUAGGCGCUAACUGAAGCUUGUAUGAUUGUGAAAAUUCUUUUCUAAGUGCUUGUACUAUGAUUUCAUGAUUCCAUAUUUAUUUUAUUUUAUUUUCCUCCAAAAUAGACAAUUUAAGAAUACUUUGAUAACCUUAUUCCUUGUAGUGUUUUGAGCUUUAGCAAUAGCAUAUCGAACAAAUUUAUGAAUGAUUUAUGUUAUAAAUUUAUCAUGAUUUUUCAUAUCUAACACAUGCAAUUAUUAUCCAACAACCGUGUCUCAUUAUUUUGUGUUCUCUCAUGGAACAGUUCCUUCAAACUGGCAGAUGCAUGGAUUUGAUCGGCCUAUUUAUACAAACGUUGUUUAUCCAUUUCCACUUGAUCCACCUUUUGUUCCUGUGGACAACCCUACUGGCUGCUAUAGGACAUACUUUCACAUUCCUAAAGAAUGGAAGGGUAUGAUCCAUUUGAUUGCCUUGCUGAUUGUAGCUGAUUACUAUUUAUUGGUGCUUUUUUAUUCUUUUGUUUUUAUUUUUCUUUGUUGUUCCCUUUUACAUUAUGCUUACUGAUCAGUAUUCUAUCAAACCUGUGCUACUUAUAUCUUGUAUGCAUCGAAGUAAGUUUUAUUUUCCACUUUGUAAUGUAGCCAUUUUGAAAUGUAAUAUAUAGAGCAAUAUGACCUGAAUUUGUGUUAAUGAUUUGAAAUGUGACUAAUAGAAGUAUUGCCUCACAGAUUGGAUUUUCUGCUGUAUGUACAUAUGAAUGCAUGCAUGCACCUAUAUUACAGUCACAGACACACACACACAAAAAUGACAUUUCCAUGACAUCCCUCAACUCUGUUGAUCAUUCUUUCUGUGGGCAAAUUUAUAUGACAUGUUUACCAUUUGACAGGUCGCAGGAUUUUGUUGCAUUUUGAAGCUGUUGAUUCUGCAUUCUGUGCAUGGCUAAAUGGGGUCCCGAUAGGAUAUAGGUAAUAAAUACUUGUAAGAACUUUUGUGAAUUAUCAUAAUUAUCCUGUAGGUGGAUGCUGUUAUGCUAUACCUUAUGUCAUACUUCCAUUCAUGGAGUCUUCUCAGCGUGUGUUACUGUUUUCUGAACAUAUGCAUUUUACAUGGAAUUUAUCUCAGUCAGGUAUAUGUUGACAGAUUAAGAUUGCGCACAUUUGUGAAUAAGAGAUACGGAGAGUGAGUUUAAGAUGCUCAUGGAGGAUCUUCUUUCGCAAUCUACUAUUUUUCACUUUUCUCUUUCGCAACAUACAAAUUAAAAGUUAAAUAUAAAAUGCAAAAAGAGAGAGUAACCCACAUGGAAUAUAAAGAACAUAAAGUCCCCAACUCUUAAAGCUGAGUAUGGAUACUGUUUUGAUGCUGAUAAAUAAUUUAUCAAGUAAAUACAAUAAUGUAUAUUGUGCUGAGAGUCUUUUGCUACCAUAUGGUUUAGCAAGAAAAGGGGCAUUAAAUUGUUAAUAACUUAAAAAUGAAGCAUGGUGAGUAUGACCUGACUCAGUUAUACUAAUUACCAAUCUUUGAACAUAGCUUUCUUUUUUUUUUUCUUUCCCUUUUUUCUGUUAAUGUAUUGUUUAUCAUACCAAGAAUAUGUAUUAGCCUUGAAAGGAACUUUCUUUAAUAAAUGGUCCAGCCACUGAAUGAUCUGACUUAAAUAUUUUGUUUCUUUUUGGUGGUGGGGAAAUUCUUGGGAAGUUUCAAUUUGAAUUAUUUGAUGGUUGUUUAAUCAGUUAGGAAUUCGGAUGUUAGUAGAGUCUUGUUUACUUUUUCACAAGUAGAAAAUGAAUCCUAAGCAUUUGAGAUGGUCAUAUGUGCACUUGUCGGUUUUGUAACCUGUAUCACCAAGUACAUACAACUAUAUCAAAUUGAAGAUUGUUUUCCGCUUAUAAGGGAUGCAUGGUUUGGUAGGAAUCCCCUGGGAGGUACGUUAACAAACUUUUCAAUAUCGUGCUAGGUCAGUCAGGACAGUAGACUUCCUGCUGAAUUUGAAAUCACUGAUUAUUGUUAUCCAUCUGAUAUGGACAAGAAAAAUGUACUAGCUGUUCAAGUAUUCAGAUGGAGUGAUGGCUCCUACCUUGAAGAUCAAGAUCAUUGGUGGUUAUCUGGCAUUCAUCGUGACGUGCUUCUUCUUUCCAAGCCACAGGUCUUUAUUGUCUUCUUUCUUGCCUUUAUAUCCUCUCUUUUAAUUACAAUUGGACUAUAUGCAAUUGGUACUUCUUGGGACUGGGGACAAGCAUGUAUACAUUGAUGAUUUGCAUGGCUACUUUUCUAUCAUAAGAUCACUCCAUCUCUUUGCAAGUCAUUAUUGUUCUUUCUUUCCCAUUUUGAAAAAUCGACACAUUGGAGGCAAAGAAUUAGGACAGUUAAUGCUAUAAUGUGUGUAUGGAAAUAUGACCUAGUUCUUCAAUGUUCUAAGCCAUAUUUUAUUUUGAUUACACAUAUAGAUUAUCUAAAUUAUUUCCUUAUUCUUUAACGUAAACUGGUAACGUGCUGCUACCUGUACUGGAGCAUUGCAUAAUAUUAAAUCCUAAAAAAUAACUGAUGUGCAGGUAUUCAUUGCAGACUACUUUUUCAAAUCAACUCUGGCUGAGGAUUUUUCUUAUGCAGACAUACAGGCAAGUAUUUAUCAAUCGAGGAUGGAUCUUUUUGUUUUUACAAAGUAAUAAGUAUAAACAAUAUUUUGCAGUUUUGUCUAGAUGGUUGACCUCUUGCACAUAACUGGACAAUAAUUUGUAACCCAUUGAAUCAUAUGAUAAACUCCAAAAACAAUAAAGGAUACAGGAAAUGUCUUAUGUGCUUAGGUUAGAGAAAUUCCUGUCUUGUAAUGGUUUUUAUUCGUACUAUCUGAUUAUAUGUGCAUGUGCUCACUUUUUUUCUCCUUUUGAGUAUCGCAGUGUCUGUUAAUGUAGACUGUCAUUGAUUUAUCAGUCAAGAUUUUGGAAUCUACCCUUAUAUCAAUGUGCAAUAUGAUGGGAUUAUGUUAUCUUCUCAGUGCUAUUGCUCUACAUUGAAAACAUUUUAAAAUAUUGUUGUCUUGCACUUUUGACCAGGUUGAAGUGAAAAUAGAUAACUCCAGAGAAACAUCUAAAGAUAGCGUUCUUGCAAACUAUGUUAUAGAAGCUGCAUUAUUUGACACUGCGUGCUGGUACAGCAUUGAUAGAUAUGCUGACCUGCACUUGUCUAAUGUGGCUAGUAUAAAGCUUAAUCUCUCAUCCAGCACAAGUCUCGGGUUUCAUGGUUAUUUGCUGGUAGGGAGACUGGACAUGCCGAGGCUUUGGUCUGCAGAGCAAGUGAGGAAUUAUUAUUUUUUGUUUCUUCCUAGUUUGUUCCUACGCUAAAACCCUUUUAAGCAAUAUAUACUUUCUUGCUUAGUGAUAUUCUCAACUUUGUUGAGUCAUUGGAGUUACCCAAAAUGUCUGUCAAGUGCUCGAAGUACCCUGGCACUGGGAAUAUUUUAGGGUGCUGCACCGUUUAACCUAAUGUGUAUGUUUGUGUGUGCUGCACCGUUUUGUUUAUAUAACUUAGUUUGCUUUUCCCUUCUAGACAUGUGGGAAAAAUUGGUCAACUGUAAAUAUCAUAUCUUGCUAAAUUAUAACAGUCUAAGAGUAAUUAGAUUUUUCUCAUUCAUAUGACUCCAGAGUUUGUGAAAAUUUCUUUUUAACUUAAAUUUAAUUCCUUAAAAGACCAUGGUCGAGUCUUCUUUCUACCUUGAGCUUCAAUGGGGUGAUAUUGUGAAUACUACGUAGGUGACUAGAAACUUUCCCCCUUACCUAAGCAUUAGCUAGCAUUAAGGGUUAGUCAAGUCAUGUUGAAAGUAUGGCUUUGGUACUUUCUUGCUCCAUAUAAGCAUAAAGUAGAUGGAGGGCUCAAACAUAAUAGUAAGAAAAGAAGUUUUGAGAAAAACAAAAAAUAUACAUUAGAUAAUUCAUGAUAUGAAACUAAAAGUUUUGUGGCCCCAAUAACAAGAAGUAUCUAAAACCUUGCAUUGUACAUUUGGUGGUGUUUUUUUUUUUUCUUUUUCCUUCUUAUGGGCAAAGCUAAAGUAUUGUACAUUAUCUUGGGAAAAGAAUAUUAAAGUAUUCAAUCAUAUGGUUUAUUAUCACUAUGUAACACAGUGUUCUCGGUUAUUAAUGAGAUGUUUUUAUCUUCUCAUCUUUCAUAUAAGAUCAAACAGUUUCUUGAUGAAGAUAGAAGGAAAGACAAUAAGUUCUCUGAAGAAUUUCAGGAACAUUUUUUCAGCAGAAAAUUCAAAAUUUUCUAGGAAAAUUCUGCAAAAUUUUCUGCUGUUUGGUGGAUUUAGAGAAGUACUUUCGAGAGAAUAUUUUCUUCAUUUAGCAGCAAACUUUGUGUCUUUUAAUACCAUUUCCUUGAGCAACUUGAAAAUGUAAUGCUUUUGGUGAUUGCUUUACUAAUGUUAAAUUAUAUGAAUCUAGGGUUUAAAUUUAUCUGCUCUCAUUCCACUUCUUUAUUAUGCCUGUUCUUCAAAGGGAAAAUAUGAUGAUUAAAAAGGGAAAGCGCAAUGGUGGGGAAGAGUGGAAGUGGUACAAUUCACUUGUUCGAAAAAAAAAAAAAAAAUUAUGACCAGAUUUUAGAGAUUCAAUAAGAAAUAAAGAUUGCAGGCUAUCUAUUUAAUGUUGUUGACUGAUGAUUCGUUUCCCAGAGUUUAUGUUACAGUAUUUGCUUUUGAACUCUUUUCCUGUGUCCAACAUACAUAUUUCAUAACUGAUUGUUUACUGUGUGCAGCCAAGCCUGUACACUCUUGCUGUUACAUUGAAAGAUGCAUCUGGCAACCUUCUGGACUGUGAAUCAAGCCUGGUAGGCAUACGGCAAGUAUCAAAAGCCCCCAAACAGCUGCUUGUUAAUGGGCAUCCAAUAAUAAUAAGGGGUGUGAACAGGCAUGAGCAUCAUCCACGUCUGGGGAAGACAAACAUAGAAUCCUGCAUGGUUAAGGUAACACAUACUUUACUUCUCCUUGUCUGUUCUCUGCUAGCCAAGUUGAUUUGCAACUGGAGUUGAUGGUUCUUGGAAUUUUAAUCACUAUUUACUGUGUACAGGAUUUGGUUUUAAUGAAGCAAUACAAUAUCAAUGCUGUGAGAAACAGUCAUUAUCCCCAACAUCCUCGUUGGUACGAGCUCUGUGAUUUGUUUGGCAUGUACAUGAUAGAUGAAGCCAAUAUUGAAACCCAUGGUUUUGAUCUUUCUGGGCAUGUGAAGCAUCCUACUUUGGAACCCAGCUGGGCUACUGCAAUGAUGGACCGUGUGAUAGGCAUGGUUGAGAGAGACAAAAAUCAUGCUUGCAUUAUCUCUUGGUCCUUAGGGAAUGAAGCUGGAUAUGGACCUAAUCAUUCUGCUUUAGCUGGUAAACCGCUGUUCUUUUAUCAUAUCCAUAUUUUUGUCCAGCUUUGAAGGAACUUUUAGAAAAUGUUAUUACUUUGUACUUGUUCGAGAAUUAUUGCCUCACCUCGACAUAUUUCUCCUAGAAGAUAUAUUCAUUUUACAGAAGUAGACAAUGGGGAUCAUUUUGUGGCUUUAGUAAGUUACCUUGAAAUGAUGGUGAUGGAUUUGGGUUCAAAAUUUCGAAAAUAAGGAAGUGAUGGUCAGAACUGGCGUUCAUCUGGGAAUGGGCCUUACUUUAGGGAAAGUGAAUAUUUUCGAAAGAAAGAAGCAUGCACUCUAAUUUUGAGUAAUUGAUAUAUAAUUUAUUAUACUAAAGUUGAGUAAGUAAGUUAACAUCACCUUUUUCUAUAAUUUGGGCAAUAUCUAUCUUUGUAUUUUAUUUUUCAUUUUUAAAAAUGUUAGUGUUUCUUAUGAAAAAUAAUUAUUAUUAUUAUGAUCACCCUCAAAAUUUUGAACAGUAUAAUUGAAGUUGCGUGUAAGGCAUCUCUUCCCAACCCCAACCCCCCCCCCCCCCCCCGGUUUCAUAUCACUCAUUGUUUUCAAGACCUUGUUCACCUGAAUUUUAGGCUGGGUUCGUGGAAAGGAUCCCUCACGGCUGGUACAUUACGAAGGAGGUGGAUCCAGAACCUCAUCCACAGAUAUUAUAUGUCCCAUGUAUAUGCGGGUCUGGGACAUGUUGCAGAUUUCGAGAGAUCCAAAUGAAACACGCCCUUUGAUUUUGUGCGAGUAUGUAUAUUUUUUUUACUUUUCCCUUUUUAUUGUUGUUUGAGCAUAGUUUGUUGGUUUACCAUUAUUCCCAAUGUUUGAAGAUGAGUCAAAUGUUAUUUAUAUUCUGGCACUUCUCACCUUUGGGCCCCUCCACCAAUAGAGUCCAACAUGCGAAAUUCAACUUAUAUAGAGAGGUUGCAACCAAUCCAAAAAAAAAAAAAAAAAAAAAGGAGGUUGCAGUUUUUGCUCUACACCUUUAUCAGGAUCUCUUGCUCUAAUACCAUGCAAAAGUUUGUUGCUUUACCACUGCUCCCAAAUUCUUAAGCUAUUAGAAUUUGGGCCAAAUGUAUUCUAACCUGCUAAUUUAUUUUGUAAAGUUAUACAAGAUACCUCUGUUUAUGCUCAUGGCAAUGCAAAUUUCUUCGCUUAAAAGUUUGAGAAAAUAAUGGCAGGUAUUCACAUGCAAUGGGAAACAGCAAUGGGAAUUUACAUGAAUAUUGGGAAGUAAUUGAUAGCACAUUUGGUCUUCAAGGAGGCUUUAUCUGGGAUUGGGUUGAUCAGGUCAAGUAUCCUUGCUGUUCAUAAGAAAUGCACUGAUGAUUUAUCAACAUUACAUUAAAUAUUGAGUUUCAAGCCAUCUUACACUCUUGAAACCCCUUUACUUUAAUUUAUUGGGCAUAACCACAUAACAUCAACAUAAAAUUGAAACUGGUAAAUAUCAUCAUCAUUUUCUUCUUCUUAUCCCCCAACCACCAACCACCAACCACCAACCCCUAACCUCUCUCUCUCUCUCUCUCUCUCUCUCUCUCUCUCUCUCUCUCCACGAAAUCUUUGUUGUUCAGAACCACAAAUUACAUCAGGGGGUAAUAGAUUUUCUCUUUGUAUAUAGGCCCUAUUGAAGGAUAAUGCAGAUGGUAGUAAGCAUUGGGCAUAUGGGGGUGACUUUGGUGAUGUUCCUAAUGAUUUAAACUUCUGUUUGAAUGGCCUUACAUGGCCAGAUCGAACUCCUCAUCCAGCACUGCAUGGUAAGUUGAUGAUUUAUGUUAUACUUACAAGUACCUCUGUCCUUUUAGUUCUUUAAGAUAAUAUUUGUAUGUUAUUUUUUAAUUUAUUUUCAUGUCUCUUUUCUUCGGUUAUUGUUUUCAGAAGUCAAGUAUGUGUACCAACCAAUCAAGGUUUCAUUUAGCAAAGAAACACUAAGGGUAAGUUCACAUAGUAUUUGCUUUCAUUUAAUUUUAUUAUUUUCCGGAAUACUUCUUUACCUGAAAUACACCUUGCAGAUAACAAAUACCCACUUUUAUAAAACAACACAAGGAUUGGAGUUCAGCUGGGAUGUUCAUGGGGAUGGAUGCAAACUUGGAUCCGGAAUUCUACCUUUUCCGUUGAUUGAACCUCAGAAGAGUUAUGAUAUUAAGUGGCGGUCAGCUUUGUGGUAUCCUCUAUGGACUUCAUCAUCUGCAGAGGAAUAUUUUUUAACAAUAACAGCUAAGCUUUUGCGUUCCACACGCUGGGUUGAAGCUGGUCAUGUUAUCUCAUCUACCCAAGUCCAGUUGCCUUCCAAAAGAGAAAUUGUUCCUCACGUAGUUGCUUUUGCUUACUACCCACUUUGACAAUAAGAAUGAAGUUUACAUGUUUUGUCAUAUAAAAACAUUUUUACAAUUGGCCUUGAUUUCCAGGUCAUCAAGACUGAAGAUGCUGUGUUCGUCAGUGAAACUCUUGGGGAUAAAAUUAGAGUCAGCCGACAUAGCUUUUGGGAGAUCAUAUUUAGUGUUCAAACAGGAACAGUUGACAGCUGGACGGUAUUUUACACCAUUGUUAUUUUCAUUUUUUUUGUUGAUAACACAUUUUUCUUUAUAAAACCAAAGUUAUUUUAAGAAUGAUUUCCCUCCAGGUUUUAUGAUUGUAGUUGCCUGGUUAUUGUUCUAUUUUCUGUUGGGAUAAGCAUUGUAUGAUUUUUCUUUUUUGUUCCUAAGGAUGUUCCGUCUCAUGUAGAUUGAGGGUUGCGUAUUUGUUGACCCGAACCUCUUUGAUUGUACUUCUCAAUUUCAUUAAUACUCAUUCUGUUUCCUAUUUAAAAAAAUGGUAGGUCGAAGGAGUUCCUUUGAUGACGAAAGGCAUAUUUCCAUGCUUCUGGCGAGCACCAACAGAUAAUGACAAAGGAGGAGGUGCGAGUAGUUAUUUCUCCUUAUGGAAAGCUGCUCAUAUUGAUAACCUUCAUUAUAUUACCCAAAGCUGUUCUAUACAGAAUAAGACGGACCAUCUUGUGAAAAUAGCUGUGGCUUUUCAUGGUGUUCCAAAGGAGGAGGGUGCUUUAUACAAGGGGAAAAAGAUAAAAAUUGAAGUUGAUGUGAUUUACACAAUUUACGGUUCAGGAGACGUUGUUGUUGAAUGUAAUGUAAGACCAAGUUCGAACCUUCGACUUCUGCCACGUGUGGGAGUUGAGUUCCAUUUGGAUAAGUCAAUGGAUCAGAUUAAGUGGUAUGGAAGAGGACCAUUUGAAUGUUAUCCAGACAGAAAAGCAGCUGCUCAUGUUGCGGUCUAUGAGCAGAAAGUGGAAGACAUGCAUGUCCCUUAUAUAGUUCCUGGGGAAUGUUCAGGUAGGGCAGAUGUUAGAUGGGUGACAUUCCAAAACAAGGAUGGUUUCGGAAUAUAUGCAUCAGUGUAUGGCAGCUCUACGCCUAUGCAAAUAAAUGCAAGUUACUACACCACAGCUGAGCUUGAUCGGGCAACGCAUAAUGAAGAUCUUAUCAAAGGAGAUGACAUUGAGGUAAUUUCUUCUACAUCAUCAAUCCAUAUCUUUCAUUUCAGAACCAGUAGAUUGUUUCUGGACAUCCAUUACGAGUAAUAUACAGAGGAUGGUUUAUGGUUUAGGGUCUAGGGUUUAUGGUUUACUGUGUUACAGGUUCAUCUUGAUCACAAGCACAUGGGCCUGGGUGGGGAUGAUAGUUGGUCGCCCUGCGUCCACGACAAGUAUCUGGUUCAUGCUGUUCCAUACUCAUUUUCAAUUAGGCUGUGCCCGAUAACCCCUGCAACCUCUGGCCAAGCCGUGUACAAAACUCAACUUCAAAACUAGUAGGCAUGAUGGGCUCAAGAACUUGGUAAUGAGUACCGAGUGAUUGACAAUGUAUGUGGCCAUGAAAUAAGAUGUCUAGCUCAUUUGCAACGAAUAAUAUAAGGGCAAA